This 305-nucleotide ribosomal RNA is filed under the name uncultured bacterium. Its description in RNAcentral is "bacterial SSU rRNA". It matches the Rfam family "Bacterial small subunit ribosomal RNA", at positions 333 to 636 of the family's 1533-position model. The record is from RNAcentral.
GAACCUACGGGAGGCAGCAGUGAGGAAUAUUGGUCAAUGGGCGGGAGCCUGAACCAGCCAAGUCGCGUGAGGGAAGACGGUCCUAUGGAUUGUAAACCUCUUUAGGCGGGGAGCAAUGCCGGGCACGCGUGCCCGGAGGGAGAGUACCAGCAGAAUAAGCAUCGGCUAACUCCGUGCCAGCAGCCGCGGUAAUACGGAGGAUGCGAGCGUUAUCCGGAUUUAUUGGGUUUAAAGGGUGCGUAGGCGGAUUUUUAAGUCAGUUGUGAAAGUUUGCGGCUCAACCGUAAAAUUGCAGUUGAAACUGG